Small nuclear RNA from Mus spicilegus (steppe mouse), 101 nucleotides. NCBI's taxonomy places the organism in Eukaryota, Metazoa, Chordata, Mammalia, Rodentia, Muridae. The record is from Ensembl.
GUGCUUACUUUAGCAGCACGUAUAUGAAAAUUGGAAUGUCACAGAAAAUAUAAGAAUAGCCCUUGAGCAAGGAUGGCAUUUGUGAAGCAUUCCAUAUUUUU